GGGGAAUCUUGGACAAUGGGCGCAAGCCUGAUCCAGCCAUGCCGCGUGAGUGAUGAAGGCCUUAGGGUCGUAAAGCUCUUUCGCCAGGGAUGAUAAUGACAGUACCUGGUAAAGAAACCCCGGCUAACUCCGUGCCAGCAGCCGCGGUAAUACGGAGGGGGUUAGCGUUGUUCGGAAUUACUGGGCGUAAAGCGCGCGUAGGCGGGUUGUUAAGUUAGAGGUGAAAUCCCGGGGCUCAACCCCGGAACUGCCUUUAAUACUGGCAACCUAGAGUUCGAGAGAGGUGAGUGGAAUUCCGAGUGUAGAGGUGAAAUUCGUAGAUAUUCGGAGGAACACCAGUGGCGAAGGCGGCUCACUGGCUCGAUACUGACGCUGAGGUGCGAAAGUGUGGGGAGCAAAC
RNAcentral lists this ribosomal RNA (400 nucleotides) under uncultured Shimia sp. RNAcentral's name for it is "bacterial SSU rRNA". It matches the Rfam family "Bacterial small subunit ribosomal RNA", at positions 356 to 773 of the family's 1533-position model. The record is from RNAcentral. Lineage: Bacteria; Pseudomonadati; Pseudomonadota; Alphaproteobacteria; Rhodobacterales; Roseobacteraceae.